This 759-nucleotide ribosomal RNA is filed under the name Aggregatibacter segnis. RNAcentral's name for it is "bacterial SSU rRNA". It matches the Rfam family "Bacterial small subunit ribosomal RNA", at positions 28 to 776 of the family's 1533-position model. The record is from RNAcentral. Lineage: Bacteria; Pseudomonadati; Pseudomonadota; Gammaproteobacteria; Pasteurellales; Pasteurellaceae.
AUUGAACGCUGGCGGCAGGCUUAACACAUGCAAGUCGAACGGUAACAGGAGAAAGCUUGCUUUCUUGCUGACGAGUGGCGGACGGGUGAGUAAUGCUUGGGAAUCUGGCUUAUGGAGGGGGAUAACGACGGGAAACUGUCGCUAAUACCGCGUAGAGUCGAGAGACGAAAGUGCGGGACCGCAAGGCCGCAUGCCAUGAGAUGAGCCCAAGUGGGAUUAGGUAGUUGGUGGGGUAAAGGCCUACCAAGCCGACGAUCUCUAGCUGGUCUGAGAGGAUGACCAGCCACACCAGGACUGAGACACGGCCCGGACUCCUACGGGAGGCAGCAGUGGGGAAUAUUGCGCAAUGGGGGCAACCCUGACGCAGCCAUGCCGCGUGAAUGAAGAAGGCCUUCGGGUUGUAAAGUUCUUUCGGUGACGAGGAAGGCGUGAUGUUUAAUAGGCAUCACGAUUGACGUUAAUCACAGAAGAAGCACCGGCUAACUCCGUGCCAGCAGCCGCGGUAAUACGGAGGGUGCGAGCGUUAAUCGGAAUAACUGGGCGUAAAGGGCACGCAGGCGGCUAUUUAAGUGAGGUGUGAAAUCCCCGGGCUUAACCUGGGAAUUGUAUUUCAGACUGGGUAGCUAGAGUACUUUAGGGAGGGGUAGAAUUCCACGUGUAGCGGUGAAAUGCGUAGAGAUGUGGAGGAAUACCGAAGGCGAAGGCAGCCCCUUGGGAAUGUACUGACGCUCAUGUGCGAAAGCGUGGGGAGCAAACAGG